GUGCCAGCAGCCGCGGUAAGACGUAGGGAGCGAGCGUUGUCCGGAUUCAUUGGGCGUAAAGGGUCCGUAGGCGGCUCAGCAAGUCGGGUGUGAAAUCUCCAGGCUCAACCUGGAGGGGCCACCCGAUACUGCUGUGGCUUGAGUCCAGUAGGGGAGCAUGGAAUUCCCGGUGUAGCGGUGAAAUGCGCAGAUAUCGGGAGGAACACCAGUGGCGAAGGCGGUGCUCUGGGCUGGAACUGACGCUGAUGGACGAAAGCGUGGGUAGCAAACAGGAUUAGAUACCCCAGUAGUCC
This 293-nucleotide ribosomal RNA is filed under the name uncultured bacterium. Its description in RNAcentral is "partial 16S ribosomal RNA". It matches the Rfam family "Bacterial small subunit ribosomal RNA", at positions 505 to 796 of the family's 1533-position model. The record is from RNAcentral.